RNAcentral lists this ribosomal RNA (498 nucleotides) under uncultured bacterium. RNAcentral describes it as "bacterial SSU rRNA". It matches the Rfam family "Bacterial small subunit ribosomal RNA", at positions 28 to 527 of the family's 1533-position model. The record is from RNAcentral.
GAUGAACGCUAGCGGCAGGCCUAACACAUGCAAGUCGAGGGGUAGAGGAAGCUUGCUUCCUUGAGACCGGCGCACGGGUGCGUAACGCGUAUGCAAUCUACCUUAUACAGGGGAAUAGCCCAGAGAAAUUUGGAUUAAUGCCCCAUAGUGUUAUUGAAUCGCAUGGUUUAAUAACUAAAGUUCCAACGGUAUAAGAUGAGCAUGCGUCCCAUUAGUUAGUUGGUAAGGUAACGGCUUACCAAGACAAUGAUGGGUAGGGGUCCUGAGAGGGAGAUCCCCCACACUGGUACUGAGACACGGACCAGACUCCUACGGGAGGCAGCAGUGAGGAAUAUUGGACAAUGGGCGCAAGCCUGAUCCAGCCAUGCCGCGUGCAGGAAUAAGGUCCUAUGGAUGUAAACUGCUUUAUACAGGAAGAAACACACCCUCGUGAGGGUACUUGACGGUACUGUAUGAAUAAGGACCGGCUAACUCCGUGCCAGCAGCCGCGGUAAAGUG